RNAcentral lists this microRNA precursor (90 nucleotides) under Marmota monax (woodchuck). The record is from RNAcentral. Lineage: Eukaryota; Metazoa; Chordata; Mammalia; Rodentia; Sciuridae.
AUGCACAUUACCUGGGGAUCUUGUUAAAAUAUCAAUUCUGAGUCUAGGCUGGAGCCCAAAAUUCUUAACAAGUUUCUAGAUGAUGCAGAC